This 175-nucleotide unclassified non-coding RNA is filed under the name uncultured fungus. RNAcentral's name for it is "sequence contains ITS1, 5.8S rRNA gene". Lineage: Eukaryota; Fungi. The record is from RNAcentral.
CCGAGUGCGGGUCCCGAACUUACUUCGGGGCCCUACCUCCGACCCGUGACUACCGAACCUCUGUUGCUUCGGCGUGUUGGCCUCGUCCCACGAGGCGGCGCCGGAGACCUUCUCCUGAACGCUUAUUUAUUUUGAAGGGAAUUGCAGUCUGAGUCGAAACGAUACAAAUCGGUUA